This 484-nucleotide ribosomal RNA is filed under the name uncultured bacterium. RNAcentral's name for it is "partial 16S ribosomal RNA". It matches the Rfam family "Bacterial small subunit ribosomal RNA", at positions 30 to 507 of the family's 1533-position model. The record is from RNAcentral.
AUUGAACGCUGGCGGCAGGCCUAACACAUGCAAGUCGAGCGGAUGAAGGGAGCUUGCUCCUGGAUUCAGCGGCGGACGGGUGAGUAAUGCCUAGGAAUCUGCCUGGUAGUGGGGGAUAACGUCCGGAAACGGGCGCGAAUACCGCAUACGUCCUGAGGGAGAAAGUGGGGGAUCUUCGGACCUCACGCUAUCAGAUGAGCCUAGGUCGGAUUAGCUAGUUGGUGGGGUAAAGGCCUACCAAGGCGACGAUCCGUAACUGGUCUGAGGGGAUGAUCAGUCACACUGGAACUGAGACACGGUCCAGACUCCUACGGGAGGCAGCAGUGGGGAAUAUUGGACAAUGGGCGAAAGCCUGAUCCAGCCAUGCCGCGUGUGUGAAGAAGGUCUUCGGAUUGUAAAGCACUUUAAGUUGGGAGGAAGGGCAGUAAGUUAAUACCUUGCUGUUUUGACGUUACCAACAGAAUAAGCACCGGCUAACUUCGUG